Molecule: ribosomal RNA, 600 nt
Filed under: bacterium enrichment culture clone F56x_C7_T3-_C07
Lineage: Bacteria
Description: bacterial SSU rRNA
Rfam family: Bacterial small subunit ribosomal RNA
Source: RNAcentral
GACGGCCCAGACUCCUACGGGAGGCAGCAGUAGGGAAUCUUCCGCAAUGGACGAAAGUCUGAUGGAGCAACGCCGCGUGAACGAAGAAGGCCUUCGGGUCGUAAAGUUCUGUUGUUAGGGAAGAACAAGUACCAGAGUAACUGCUCGUACCUUGACGGUACCUUAUUAGAAAGCCACGGCUAACUACGUGCCAGCAGCCGCGGUAAUACGUAGGUGGCAAGCGUUGUCCGGAAUUAUUGGGCGUAAAGCGCGCGCAGGCGGUUCUUUAAGUCUGAUGUGAAAGCCCACGGCUCAACCGUGGAGGGUCAUUGGAAACUGGAGAACUUGAGUACAGAAGAGGAAAGCGGAAUUCCACGUGUAGCGGUGAAAUGCGUAGAGAUGUGGAGGAACACCAGUGGCGAAGGCGGCUUUCUGGUCUGUAACUGACGCUGAGGCGCGAAAGCGUGGGGAGCAAACAGGAUUAGAUACCCUGGUAGUCCACGCCGUAAACGAUGAGUGCUAAGUGUUAGGGGGUUUCCGCCCCUUAGUGCUGCAGCUAACGCAUUAAGCACUCCGCCUGGGGAGUACGGCCGCAAGGCUGAAACUCAAAGGAAUGACGGA